AUGGAGGAACUGCCCGGAGUAAUCUGAACAGUUGCUGAGUCGAGGAGGAGCAGGAGAGAAGUAGCUUGACCCAUCUGUAACUUGCAUCAUUCUAUUUCUGUAUAGGUACGCAACAAGUCCAAUGAAGGGCUCUACCAGUG
Long non-coding RNA from Melanotaenia boesemani (Boeseman's rainbowfish), 140 nucleotides. RefSeq lists it as uncharacterized. NCBI's taxonomy places the organism in Eukaryota, Metazoa, Chordata, Actinopteri, Atheriniformes, Melanotaeniidae. The transcript has 3 exons. The record is from RefSeq and is a predicted model, not a curated record.